UUUUUGCGAUGAAUCAAGUUGUCUUUAUUAAACAUGUGUCAUCUUUGUCUGUUGGUGGAUAAAUAUCUUAAAACUAGUAAUCCUCUAAAAUGUGCAAUCACUUCAAACAUAUUCUUCUGUGGGGAUCUUAUAAAAUUAUUAUUCUCCUUCAAGGUGUUUGUUCAAUAGGACAGUUGCUUUGAUAACUUUCCGUCCACGUCCAACGAUGGCAGGCUGGUUCGGGCGAGGGAGUGGCAUUCGGUGGCACGCCAUCAGCGCGCUUGAGGGGAUGAAGGCGGUCGACCACAUGGACUUUGAUGUAACUUUUUUUAUUUUAUAUGGGGUGUUUGUAGUACUGGUUCAAUUUAUUAAUCGAAGUGCUUUUCAUAAAAUAAUAAUUAAAUCUCAAAUUGUACUUGAUUUGGAAUUUCGAGACUAAUCAACAUCUCUGAAUUUUUUGAUUUAGAGAGAGAAACCGUCAUGGAGAGAGAGAGAGAGAGAGAGAGAGAGAGAGAGAGAGAGAGAGAGAGAGAGUGUGUGUUCCAAGCCCAUAACUACAGCCCAUUAUCCUCGGCUCCUACCCGUCUCGCCUGUCGCUGGCUCGCUGCCAGACCCUUGCCGCCGCCGUCGCCGUCGACGUGGCCUCCUCUUCCCCAACACCAUAGCUCCGAUCAGUCUCAGGUCGACGCGCGCGGGCGGCUGGGUCCAGGUUUCUCCGGCCAGGCCUACCCUCCGGCCGCGGCUCGCUUCCACCACGGCAGCAGCAGAAUAUCUUGUGGAACGGGAGAAUAGAGCAGUGAGGUUGUGUUGAUCGAUAGGUUUGGAUCUCGGUUGCGGUUUGUGAUACCAGCAGUGCACACCAAGGAAGAUAUUGCGGGCACCUUGGAAUUUUGUUGGCGAUGGAUGGUAGUAGCUCCAGCAAGAGAAAACCUGAAGCGCAGCAAGACGGCGAGAGCAGCGCCAAGAGGCUCAAUGUCACCGUGGGGCUGGAGUCCCUUGACUGCCCCAUCUGCUUUGUGUCCCUCAGUCCUCCGAUAUUCCAGGUAAAUGCUCUAUGUGUUGGCUUGUCUUUGAACCCGAGGUUUUAUUUCAUUUGUGAUAAAGCUCAACGUAAAAUUAGAGCUUUUAUGGAAGUGAUCUUUCUUUGGACGUAGUGCUACUUGGCAAGGACGUGUUUCAUGUGAAUGUAGCAUAAUAGCUAUGGUAACUCAAACAAUGAACUAUAGAUUACUUACCUAUCUUGUUGUUUUAUUUUUUUCAAAAUUAAAAUAUAUUUAUGUUACAA
Aegilops tauschii subsp. strangulata is the source of this 1264-nucleotide long non-coding RNA. RefSeq lists it as uncharacterized. The record is from RefSeq and is a predicted model, not a curated record. Lineage: Eukaryota; Viridiplantae; Streptophyta; Magnoliopsida; Poales; Poaceae.